UUGAAGAGUGGAAAAGAUAAUAAAAUUCUGUGUAACUAAAAAAAAAAAAGGUUAUAAAGAUAUUCUAGGAGAGAAGGGAAAGGAUGCUUUAUGGUUAUCAGAUGGAUACUAACCACAGAAACACAGAGACCUUCAUCCUGGGACAUCAGAAAUAGAAAGACUCAUAGUACUCUAAAACUGGAAAGCUGGAUUGGCUACCAAAUGCGUAUUCCAAACAUCAGCAUGUCUCCUGAGAAGUCCUGCUUGCUUCUAUCUAGUUUGGGAAAUAACCAUAGUAAUCCAAGUGUUAGAGCUUUGCGUGAAUGUUUGCUGAAUGUUCAGCCAUUUAAUGAAAGAUAACUUAAGAAAUCAUGCUAGAGCUUUCUAAAAGAUACCAGAUAGUUUUGUGUAUUCAUACAUGAAAUUGAGUAAUUCUUUAGAAAGCAGUUGCUUUCCGAACUAUGUGGCUUCCAUCUUACAAAGACAUAAAGAAACAUCUUCUUUAUAUAUUUGGAAUUGUCUCAAAUAGAGUUCUUAAAAGAAUACUUGUCUUUCUUAAGAUUAUCCAUCAGGGAAUCUAAUUUGUAAGUAGAGUUUUUCAUGCCUGGUAUAUUCAGAAAGCUGGUCUUGCAUAUUAAGUCUUACACCCUUUGCAAAACAGAUAAUGAUGAAAAGUCUCUAAACAUUUUACCUUUUGGGGGAAUGAUAUGGAAGAAUUAGACUCCAUAUUUCAAUCUGUUUGACCCUCAUUUGCUAACUUCACUUGACAUUAUAGUGCGUUAAGCACUAUGUGUCGCAAGAUCUCUGAAGGAGAAAUAUUAUGUGCUGAAAUGUUUCCAAAGAUGGAACUGCUUGGAAUAAAAAAAUUGUUAAUUGAAUGGUAUUAAAAUUU
Molecule: long non-coding RNA, 871 nt
Filed under: Numida meleagris (helmeted guineafowl)
Lineage: Eukaryota; Metazoa; Chordata; Aves; Galliformes; Numididae
Description: lncRNA (ENSNMEG00000011240.1)
Source: RNAcentral